Molecule: small RNA, 547 nt
Filed under: Pan troglodytes (chimpanzee)
Lineage: Eukaryota; Metazoa; Chordata; Mammalia; Primates; Hominidae
Description: processed transcript
Source: RNAcentral
ACUGUUCCUGUGAGCAUUUGAGCUUGUGACUCUAAGGGCAGUGCUUUCAGGAAGCUGUUUUCUAAAUCUUAACGUUACUUUUAGUGAUCUUUCUACUUAUAUUGCUAUUUAACACACCAUGUGGUUAUGUCACUUACUUAAUUAGAGUAUAAGGUCUGUAAUACCAGUAAGUAUGUGUUUUCUGUUUCUGGAUCUCAUCCAUGGUGCUGGUAUAGGGCCUUACACACUGUAGCAAGGUGCGAAAUUCAUCCACACUUCUCUUUAGUGCCUUGAUCACAAGAAUUUUUGGAGUUAAAAGGGCAAAGGAUGAACAUUCCAAAACAAAUAGAAUGACAGGGAGAGAGUUUUUCUCUCGUUUCCCAGAACUCUAUCCUUUUCUUCUCAAACAGUUGGAAACUGUAGCCAAUGCAGUAGACAGUGAUAUGGGAGAACCAAAUCGUCAUCCAAGCAUGUUUCUCUUACUUUUGGUGUUGGAGAGACUCUACGCUUCCCCGAUGGAUGGUACUUCUUCUGCCCUCAGCAUGGGACCUUUUGUUCCCUUCAUUAU